CCUACGGGUGGCAGCAGUAGGGAAUCUUCCACAAUGGGCGAAAGCCUGAUGCAGCAACGCCGCGUGGGUGAAGAAGGUCUUCGGAUCGUAAAACCCUGUUGUUAGAGAAGAAAGUGCGUGAGAGUAACUGUUCACGUUUCGACGGUAUCUAACCAGAAAGCCACGGCUAACUACGUGCCAGCAGCCGCGGUAAUACGUAGGUGGCAAGCGUUAUCCGGAUUUAUUGGGCGUAAAGGGAACGCAGGCGGUCUUUUAAGUCUGAUGUGAAAGCCUUCGGCUUAACCGGAGUAGUGCAUUGGAAACUGGGAGACUUGAGUGCAGAAGAGGAGAGUGGAACUCCAUGUGUAGCGGUGAAAUGCGUAGAUAUAUGGAAGAACACCAGUGGCGAAAGCGGCUCUCUGGUCUGUAACUGACGCUGAGGUUCGAAAGCGUGGGUAGCAAACAGGAUUAGAUACCCUUGUAGUC
RNAcentral lists this ribosomal RNA (465 nucleotides) under uncultured bacterium. RNAcentral describes it as "partial 16S ribosomal RNA". It matches the Rfam family "Bacterial small subunit ribosomal RNA", at positions 338 to 795 of the family's 1533-position model. The record is from RNAcentral.